GAUGAACGCUGGCGGCGUGCUUAACACAUGCAAGUCGAACGAAGCUGCUAAAAGGAAGUCUUCGGAUGGAAUUUUGGUAGACUUAGUGGCGGACGGGUGAGUAACGCGUGGAUAACCUGCCCUAUACAGGGGGAUAACGGAGAGAAAUUUCCGCUAAGACCGCAUAAGACCACAGCACCGCAUGGUGCAGGGGUAAAAUAUUUAUAGGUAUAAGAUGGAUCCGCGUCCGAUUAGCUGGUUGGUGAGGUAGAGGCUCACCAAGGCGACGAUCGGUAGCCGGCCUGAGAGGGUGAACGGCCACAUUGGGACUGAGACACGGCCCAAACUCCUACGGGAGGCAGCAGUGGGGAAUAUUGGACAAUGGGGGAAACCCUGAUCCAGCGACGCCGCGUGAGUGAAGAAGUAUUUCGGUAUGUAAAGCUCUAUCAGCAGGGAAGAAAAUGACGGUACCUGACUAAGAAGCCCCGGCUAACUACGUGCCAGCAGCCGCGGUAAUACGUAGGGGGCAAGCGUUAUCCGGAUUUACUGGGUGUAAAGGGAGCGCAGACGGCGAAGCAAGUCUGAAGUGAAAUGCAUGGGCUCAACCCAUGAAUUGCUUUGGAAACUGUUUGGCUUGAGUGUCGGAGGGGUAAGCGGAAUUCCUAGUGUAGCGGUGAAAUGCGUAGAUAUUAGGAGGAACACCGGAGGCGAAGGCGGCUUACUGGACGACAACUGACGUUGAGGCUCGAAGCGUGGGGAGCAAACAGG
This 747-nucleotide ribosomal RNA is filed under the name uncultured Lachnospiraceae bacterium. RNAcentral describes it as "bacterial SSU rRNA". It matches the Rfam family "Bacterial small subunit ribosomal RNA", at positions 28 to 776 of the family's 1533-position model. The record is from RNAcentral. Lineage: Bacteria; Bacillati; Bacillota; Clostridia; Lachnospirales; Lachnospiraceae.